GAGAUUUCAACAGUGACAUGUUACAUGACUAUUCAUUCGCAUUGCACCGGGUGAGCUUGAAUUUCAGAGAUGACCUCAGGAAUGUUCUUGGACCAGACAACUUAACCCAAGAAGCUGAAGCUGAUAAAUUAGAACAUUGUUUGCUCAUAAACGGACCAUUCCUUCAAGUUCUAUUUCAUGAUGCCUACUCUGGUUAAUAAACUGUGCUUGGUCCAUAUAAGUUGUCCUUUACCACAUAACCAGACCUGGACUCAACAAAGACACAAGAUUCUGGGUGUGACAUUUGCGGGAAGAAUUACCUGAAGAAAAAAAAGCUCUUCCCCUACACUGAGUAAUACUUUUCAAUACAGUGCUGAAAUAAAGAGGCCC
Long non-coding RNA from Mesocricetus auratus (golden hamster), 369 nucleotides. RefSeq lists it as uncharacterized. NCBI's taxonomy places the organism in Eukaryota, Metazoa, Chordata, Mammalia, Rodentia, Cricetidae. The record is from RefSeq and is a predicted model, not a curated record. The transcript is spliced from 3 exons.